UGUGCAAGUGAUGAUAAAAUAGACAGGGACAUCAGCACUCCUCAAUGGAGUAUGAUGAUUUGUCUUCGGGAAUCUCUCUGAUGCACA
Molecule: small nucleolar RNA, 87 nt
Organism: Cornus florida
Lineage: Eukaryota; Viridiplantae; Streptophyta; Magnoliopsida; Cornales; Cornaceae
Product: small nucleolar RNA R44/J54/Z268 family
Exons: 1
Source: RefSeq, a predicted model, not a curated record